Molecule: unclassified non-coding RNA, 283 nt
Filed under: plant metagenome
Description: partial contains small subunit ribosomal RNA, internal transcribed spacer 1, and 5.8S ribosomal RNA
Rfam family: 5.8S ribosomal RNA (bases 235-283)
Source: RNAcentral
UUUCCGUAGGUGAACCUGCGGAAGGACCAUUAUUGUAUAACCGAGGUGCGAGGGCUGUCGCUGACCCGAAAGGUCGUGCACGCCCGAGUGCCCUCACACACAUCCAUCUCACCCCUAUGUGCACCACCGCGUGGGUCCCCCUUUGGCUUGUUCGGAGGGGGGCUUACGUUUUCACACAAACUUUGUAUGCAGUGUAGAAUGUAUUUUUUGUUUUUGCGAUCACGCAAUCAAUACAACUUUCAACAACGGAUCUCUUGGCUCUCGCGUCGAUGAAGAACGCAGC